GCGCCAUUAACUCAGCUUGGACAGAGUGCCAGUCUUAUAAGCUGGAGGUCUAGGGAUCGAAGCCCUAAUGGCGCA
Molecule: transfer RNA, 75 nt
Filed under: Promethearchaeota archaeon
Lineage: Archaea; Promethearchaeati; Promethearchaeota
Description: Candidatus Lokiarchaeota archaeon (microbial mat metagenome) tRNA-Ile
Rfam family: tRNA
About the family: Transfer RNA (tRNA) molecules are approximately 80 nucleotides in length. Their secondary structure includes four short double-helical elements and three loops (D, anti-codon, and T loops).
Source: RNAcentral